UACGUAGGGUGCGAGCGUUGUCCGGAAUUACUGGGCGUAAGGAGCUCGUAGGCGGUUUGUCGCGUCGUCUGUGAAAUCCUGCAACUCAAUUGCAGGCGUGCAGGCGAUACGGGCAGACUUGAGUACUACAGGGGAGACUGGAAUUCCUGGUGUAGCGGUGAAAUGCGCAGAUAUCAGGAGGAACACCGGUGGCGAAGGCGGGUCUCUGGGUAGUAACUGACGCUGAGGAGCGAAAGCGUGGGGAUCGAACAGGAUUAGA
RNAcentral lists this ribosomal RNA (259 nucleotides) under uncultured prokaryote. Its description in RNAcentral is "partial 16S ribosomal RNA". It matches the Rfam family "Bacterial small subunit ribosomal RNA", at positions 524 to 782 of the family's 1533-position model. The record is from RNAcentral.